This 609-nucleotide ribosomal RNA is filed under the name uncultured bacterium. RNAcentral's name for it is "bacterial SSU rRNA". It matches the Rfam family "Bacterial small subunit ribosomal RNA", at positions 923 to 1533 of the family's 1533-position model. The record is from RNAcentral.
GCACAAGCGGUGGAUGAUGUGGUUUAAUUCGAUGCAACGCGAAAAACCUUACCUACCCUUGACAUGUCUAGAAUUUUGCAGAGAUGUGAAAGUGCUCGAAAGGGAACUAGAACACAGGUGCUGCAUGGCCGUCGUCAGCUCGUGUCGUGAGAUGUUGGGUUAAGUCCCGCAACGAGCGCAACCCUUGUCAUUAGUUGCUACGAAAGGGCACUCUAAUGAGACUGCCGGUGACAAACCGGAGGAAGGUGGGGAUGACGUCAGGUCCUCAUGGCCCUUAUGGGUAGGGCUACACACGUCAUACAAUGGCCGGUACAGAGGGUCGCCAACCCGCGAGGGGGAGCCAAUCCCAGAAAACCGGUCGUAAUCCGGAUCGCAGUCUGCAACUCGACUGCGUGAAGUCGGAAUCGCUAGUAAUCGCGGAUCAGCUUGCCGCGGUGAAUACGUUCCCGGGUCUUGUACACACCGCCCGUCACACCAUGGGAGCGGGUUCUGCCAGAAGUAGUUAGCCUAACCGCAAGGAGGGCGAUUACCACGGCAGGGUUCGUGACUGGGGUGAAGUCGUAACAAGGUAGCCGUAUCGGAAGGUGCGGCUGGAUCACCUCCUUUCUG